AUGCAUGUCUAAGUUCAUAUUGCCUAUAAUGGUGAAACCGCGAACGGCUCAUUACAACAGCUAUUAUUUACUUGAUUUUGAUUUCUCCUACGUGGAUAACUGUGGUAAUUCUAGAGCUAAUACAUGCACCAAAGCUCGUUCAUCAUUUGAAGAGCGCAUCUAUCAGAAUAAAACCAAUCGAGUUGUGCGUGGCGCGUAUGUGGUCGUGCGUUUUCUGCGCGCGUCUCACAACGUCACGUAUAUUCGCUCGUUUAUUGGUGACUCUGAAUAGCUUAGCUGAUCGCAUGGUCCAGAACCGGCGACGCAUCUAUCAAGUAUCUGCCUUAUCAACUUUCGAUGGUAGUUUAAAUGACUACCAUGGUUGUAACGGGUAACGGAGAAUAAGGGUUCGACUCCGGAGAGGGAGCCUGAGAAACGGCUACCACUUCCAAGGAAGGCAGCAGGCGCGCAAAUUACCCACUCUCAGCUCAGAGGAGGUAGUGACGAAAAAUAACGAGACCGUACUCAAUGAGGCCGGUUAUCGGAAUGGGUACAAUUUAAACCCGUUAACGAGGAUCUAUGAGAGGGCAAGUCUGGUGCCAGCAGCCGCGGUAAUUCCAGCUCUCAAAGUGUAUAUCGGCAUUGCUGCGGUUAAAAAGCUCGUAGUUGGAUUUCAGCCUUACGACGUGGUCCGCUCAUUGAGUGUGAACUACGCCUCGUAGGCUAUGUUUGUGUUGGUUUUCUCUUGCGUUGCUCUCAACGGCUGCGCAAGGUGGCUAACGAGUUUACCUUGAAAAAAUUAGAGUGCUCAACGCGGGCUCAAUACGCCUGAAUACUCGUGCAUGGAAUAAUGGAAUAGGAUCUCGGUUCUAUUUUGUUGGUUUUCUGAUCUGAGAUAAUGGUUAAGAGGGACAGACGGGGGCAUUCGUAUCGCUGCGUGAGAGGUGAAAUUCUUGGACCGUAGCGAGACGUCCCACUGCGAAAGCAUUUGCCAAGAAUG
RNAcentral lists this ribosomal RNA (979 nucleotides) under Dentiphilometra monopteri. RNAcentral describes it as "bacterial SSU rRNA". It matches the Rfam family "Eukaryotic small subunit ribosomal RNA", at positions 51 to 966 of the family's 1831-position model. The record is from RNAcentral. Lineage: Eukaryota; Metazoa; Nematoda; Chromadorea; Rhabditida; Philometridae.